This 269-nucleotide long non-coding RNA is filed under the name Vigna radiata. Its description in RNAcentral is "long non-coding RNA (VRAD_LNC011823)". Lineage: Eukaryota; Viridiplantae; Streptophyta; Magnoliopsida; Fabales; Fabaceae. The record is from RNAcentral.
UUCUUUCUGGAGAAGGAAACAAUUCUCUAGAUGUUCUUUUUCUCCUUCUCCUUCUAGUUCAACUCAAUCCUUCAAGAAGAGGUUCUGAAUUUUUCUUGCUCCUAGUUCGAAUUUUAUCCUGCGUACACAAGAAAACAAAACCCUAAAAAGCAAUUGUUAGAAGGACCAAAAACAAAAAUAAAAAAAAAAUCAAGUCAAAGUUAAUGAAUAAUCACACAAAUAGAAUAGUUAAACCACGAGUCCCCGGUAACGGCGCCAAAAUUUUUUAA